This 301-nucleotide ribosomal RNA is filed under the name uncultured bacterium. RNAcentral's name for it is "partial 16S ribosomal RNA". It matches the Rfam family "Bacterial small subunit ribosomal RNA", at positions 510 to 808 of the family's 1533-position model. The record is from RNAcentral.
CACCGCCGCGGGAAUACGAAGGGGGCUAGCGUUGUUCGGAUUUACUGGGCGUAAAGGGUGCGUAGGCGGACUGAUAAGUCAGGGGUGAAAUCCCAAGGCUCAACCUUGGAACUGCCUUUGAUACUGUUAGUCUUGAGUUCGAGAGAGGUGAGUGGAACUGCGAGUGUAGAGGUGAAAUUCGUAGAUAUUCGCAAGAACACCAGUGGCGAAGGCGGCUCACUGGCUCGAAACUGACGCAGAGGCGCGAAAGCGUGGGGAGCAAACAGGAUUAGAUACCCCGGUAGUCCCUGUCUCUUAUACA